GACGAACGCUGGCGGCGUGCUUAACACAUGCAAGUCGAACGAUGAAGCCUAGCUUGCUAGGUGGAUUAGUGGCGAACGGGUGAGUAAUACGUGAGUGACCUACCUUUGACUCUGGGAUAAGCCUGGGAAACUGGGUCUAAUACCGGAUACGACCAAUCUCCGCAUGGGGUGUUGGUGGAAAGCGUUAUGGAGUGGUUUUAGAUGGGCUCACGGCCUAUCAGCUUGUUGGUGAGGUAAUGGCUUACCAAGGCGACGACGGGUAGCCGGCCUGGGAGGGUGACCGGCCACACUGGGACUGAGACACGGCCCAGACUCCUACGGGAGGCAGCAGUGGGGAAUAUUGCACAAUGGGCGCAAGCCUGAUGCAGCGACGCCGCGUGAGGGAUGACGGCCUUCGGGUUGUAAACCUCUGUUAGCAUCGAAGAAGCGAAAGUGACGGUAGGUGCAGAGAAAGCGCCGGCUAACUACGUG
RNAcentral lists this ribosomal RNA (471 nucleotides) under uncultured bacterium. Its description in RNAcentral is "partial 16S ribosomal RNA". It matches the Rfam family "Bacterial small subunit ribosomal RNA", at positions 28 to 507 of the family's 1533-position model. The record is from RNAcentral.